UGAAACCGUGAUGAGAGUAUGUCAUAGACUGAGGAUUAUGACUGAUCCAAUUCUGUUACCUGAAAUCCAAA
RNAcentral lists this small nucleolar RNA (71 nucleotides) under Mustela putorius furo (domestic ferret). RNAcentral describes it as "Small nucleolar RNA SNORD112 (ENSMPUG00000022999.1)". The record is from RNAcentral. Lineage: Eukaryota; Metazoa; Chordata; Mammalia; Carnivora; Mustelidae.